CCAAUUGCAGGCAUGGGCACAGUUCGUUGAAGCCACUAGCCAAUCUUAGCAAAUAGAACUAUAAAUUAAGAUCCAAUUUAUUUUAUUUCUCCCUUUGAAGACAACAAAUAUAUCCUAAUCCGCUUUGGCUGGCCUUGAAUAGUGUUGAGUGCAUGCAACUUAAUUUACAUAGAAUAUUUAAUAAAAUAAAUAGUAUAUCCAUCGCUCUUUCGUUUGUUUCCUAAGAGAAUCAUUAUAAGUAGAAUAAUAUUAAAUUAUGAAUAAACGAAAAAAAAAAAGAGUCCCAAAAAAUCACGUACUAAAGAGCAAAGAAGGCGAAGGGAAGCGAAGAGACGAAAAACGUGGAGAGCUUUUAAGAGGUAGAUAACCGAGGAAUCAAUAUCUUUUUAUUAUUAUUAUUAUUCUUCAAAAGAGUAAUGAGGGAGUUUACAUAAUUGCUUCGUU
Molecule: long non-coding RNA, 444 nt
Organism: Arabidopsis thaliana (thale cress)
Lineage: Eukaryota; Viridiplantae; Streptophyta; Magnoliopsida; Brassicales; Brassicaceae
Product: other RNA
Exons: 2
Source: RefSeq